RNAcentral lists this RNase P RNA (371 nucleotides) under Bacteroidales bacterium. RNAcentral's name for it is "RNase P RNA component class A". It matches the Rfam family "Bacterial RNase P class A". From Rfam's summary of the family: Ribonuclease P (RNase P) is a ubiquitous endoribonuclease, found in archaea, bacteria and eukarya as well as chloroplasts and mitochondria. Its best characterised activity is the generation of mature 5'-ends of tRNAs by cleaving the 5'-leader elements of precursor-tRNAs. Cellular RNase Ps are ribonucleoproteins. The record is from RNAcentral. Lineage: Bacteria; Pseudomonadati; Bacteroidota; Bacteroidia; Bacteroidales.
AGCAAACGGUCAUUCUAUCGCCAGACAGCAAUGUAGGGAGGAAAGUCCGGGCAGCACGAGCCGCCAUGCUUCCUAACGGGAAGGCACGUUCCUGAAUGGGAAACCGUUGAGGGAAAGUGACAGAGAGCGCCACAGAAAACAAACCGCUUUAUGCUGCAUAAAGCAAGGGUGAAAACGCGGGGUAAGAGCCCACGACGCGACCUGGUGACAGGCGUGAUGGCAAGCCUCAUGGGCUGAAAGACCAAGUAUACCGGCAGUUAAGGGCAGGCUCGCCCGUUGUCGGGGGGUAGGUCGAUAGAGACCGUCGGUGACGGCGGCCCCAGAUUGAUGAUAGAACACGACAGAACCCGGCUUACAGACCUUUGCUAUUU